GCUUAACACCGAGAACAUACUGCUUAAAGGCAGAGCGGUGGCGAAGUGAAACGAGCCAUCACGCAUACAUAAAGUGAUUAUCAAGCAAAAUGUUUUGGGUGUUGAGCUUUGGAUAGUGGCGAACGGGUGAGUAACGCGUAGGCAAUCUGCCUUCUAGAUGGGGACAACAUCCCGAAAGGGGUGCUAAUACCGAAUGUUGUACCGUUUCCGCAUGGAGAUGAUACUAAAGGUGGCCUCUGAAUAUGCUACCGCUAGAAGAUGAGCCUGCGUCUGAUUA
Molecule: ribosomal RNA, 277 nt
Filed under: uncultured Anaeromusa sp.
Lineage: Bacteria; Bacillati; Bacillota; Negativicutes; Selenomonadales; Sporomusaceae
Description: partial 16S ribosomal RNA
Rfam family: Bacterial small subunit ribosomal RNA (bases 82-277)
Source: RNAcentral